This 477-nucleotide unclassified non-coding RNA is filed under the name uncultured fungus. RNAcentral describes it as "sequence contains 18S rRNA gene, ITS1, 5.8S rRNA gene, ITS2, 28S rRNA gene". The record is from RNAcentral. Lineage: Eukaryota; Fungi.
GGGCACCCGAACAGUUCAGCCGUGCUGCGUUGAUCUCUCAAGCUCGGGAGGCGCUAGUGGGGUGGGCUGCGUCGAUGAAUCGGGCUGUGGCAAUCUCCGAGCCCGCGGGUGGCACGACGGUCUGCUUGACUGUCAGCGACCGUGGUACCGAAGCUGCGCUCUUCGACGACUUUCGUGAGCACGACGUACUGCUCGUGCCUGGUUUCCGCUGCUUCGAGUUUGCCGGCGAUCGCUCAUGGUUUCGCCUUGGGUAUGCCCGGCAUGUCGACGUGCUGCGCCGAGGUCUCGAACAGAUCCGUUUGACCCUGUUCCAACAGUAGAGAGGAAUUAUUGAAAUGUUGUCUCGCUCGUCGGACAUCUUCUUCCUCGACGAUCUCAGCGCCGUCGGACCGACCGGCAACUGGUUUCGUGAUUCGAGUGAGCGCGGGCUCGCCGGUCGCGCGCUCGUCGACGUGCUCGAGUACUUGCGCGCCGAUC